This is a small nuclear RNA of Artibeus jamaicensis (Jamaican fruit-eating bat), 103 nucleotides long. Lineage: Eukaryota; Metazoa; Chordata; Mammalia; Chiroptera; Phyllostomidae. The record is from RefSeq and is a predicted model, not a curated record.
GCACUCACUUCAGCAGCACUUUCAGCAAAGUUGAAAUGGUAAUAGAGAAGAUUAGCAUGGCCCCUGUGCAAGGAUGACGCCCAAAUUCAAGGAGAAAUCAUGU